RNAcentral lists this ribosomal RNA (253 nucleotides) under uncultured bacterium. Its description in RNAcentral is "partial 16S ribosomal RNA". It matches the Rfam family "Bacterial small subunit ribosomal RNA", at positions 524 to 776 of the family's 1533-position model. The record is from RNAcentral.
UACGUAGGGUGCGAGCGUUGUCCGGAAUUAUUGGGCGUAAAGAGCUUGUAGGCGGUUUGUCGCGUCUGCCGUGAAAAUUCGAGGCUCAACCUCGAACUUGCGGUGGGUACGGGCAGACUAGAGUGUGGUAGGGGAGACUGGAAUUCCUGGUGUAGCGGUGAAAUGCGCAGAUAUCAGGAGGAACACCGAUGGCGAAGGCAGGUCUCUGGGCCGUAACUGACGCUGAGGAGCGAAAGCAUGGGGAGCGAACAGG